This 932-nucleotide non-coding RNA is filed under the name Ansonia sp. PNM/CMNH. RNAcentral's name for it is "partial 12S ribosomal RNA". It matches the Rfam family "Bacterial small subunit ribosomal RNA". Lineage: Eukaryota; Metazoa; Chordata; Amphibia; Anura; Bufonidae. The record is from RNAcentral.
GGUUUGGUCCUAGCCUUGAAAUCAAUUACUACUUAAUAUACACAUGCAAGCAUCCACCCCCCUGUGAAAACGCCCUUUAUCUCCUUCUAGGAAAAAGGAGCCGGUAUCAGGCACGAAUGUCUGCCCAAAACACCUAGCUUCGCCACACCCACAAGGGAAUUCAGCAGUGAUCAACAUUGAGAAUAAGCGCAAGCUUGACUCAGUCAAAGUAAACAGAGCCGGCUAAUCUGGUGCCAGCCGCCGCGGUUACACCAUGUGGCUCAAAUUGACCCCUCUGCGGCGUAAAGCGUGAUUAAAGUCUCUCCCCACUAGAGUUAAAUUAAAACUGAGCUGUAACACGCCUGUUUAUUAAGAAACUCAAAAACGAAAGUUACUCUAACACAGCCCACUUGAACUCACGACAACUAAGAACCAAACUGGGACUAGAUACCCCACUAUGCUUAGCUAUAAACUUUUAUUUUACAUCAACAAAUCGCCAGGGAACUACAAGCCAAGCUUAAAACCCAAAGGACUUGACGGUACCCCAUAUCCCCCUAGAGGAGCCUGUCCUAUAAUCGAUACUCCACGUUUAACCUCACCAUUUUUAGCUUAUCAGCCUGUAUACCUCCGUCGCCAGCUUACCCCGUGAGCGCCAAUCAGUGAGCUAAAUGUUUCCCCCAUCAACACGUCACGUCAAGGUGCAGCAAAUAAAAUGGAAAGAGAUGGGCUACACUUUCUACAUUAGAAAAAACGAAAAACUAUUUAUAAAACCUAGUUAGAAGGCGGAUUUAGCAGUAAAAAGGAAUCAGAAUGCCCAUUUUAAUCUGGCACUGGGGUGUGUACACACCGCCCGUCACCCUCCUCGAAGCUAUAAUAAAGUUUUUAACUAACCAGCGCACAACAGAAGAGGCAAGUCGUAACAUGGUAAGUAUACCGGAAGGUGUGCUUGGAAA